RNAcentral lists this transfer RNA (72 nucleotides) under Bos taurus (domestic cattle). It matches the Rfam family "tRNA". From Rfam's summary of the family: Transfer RNA (tRNA) molecules are approximately 80 nucleotides in length. Their secondary structure includes four short double-helical elements and three loops (D, anti-codon, and T loops). Lineage: Eukaryota; Metazoa; Chordata; Mammalia; Artiodactyla; Bovidae. RNAcentral also lists the same sequence under 3 other names. The record is from Rfam by way of RNAcentral.
UUCCUGGUGGCUCAGAUGGUAAAGAAUCUGCUUGCAAUGCAGGAGGCCCAGGUUUGAUUCCUGGGUUGGGAA